This 504-nucleotide small RNA is filed under the name Histoplasma capsulatum. Its description in RNAcentral is "hypothetical RNA". The record is from RNAcentral. Lineage: Eukaryota; Fungi; Ascomycota; Eurotiomycetes; Onygenales; Ajellomycetaceae. RNAcentral also lists the same sequence under 1 other name.
UCCCCUGACCAGGAGUCCCUCCUCGCCGAGCGACACCAUGCAGCAAGCAUACAGGGAGUGUCUACAACCACUCACUGACUCUGUCAUAAAGACCGACAAGCUGAAUCGCUCAGCCAACGAAGGUUGUACUCCGGCAACUAGCUACUAUGUAUAGUAUAAAAAAGGAUCAAACAGGAAAUAUUUACACUCCCCCUCUGACACGCUCCCGCUUGCAAGCCAUUAGCAUGGUUAUACUAGAGGACGAAACAUUCUAUUCGAGCAGGGCUGACCAUGACUGUACGAAUCCUUGGACUCAAGGAAGAACGGGGGGAUGAGAAUCCAGGAACAAAGAACAAGAGAUUGGCUCUUGCGUAAGAGUGUAUUUAAAAUGCGACUACGCCAGGAUUCGAAACAACUUAUAUUGAAAGUCUCAGUACCAUUGGCAGAUAUCCCAUCAGAACCCUCGUCUUGGCUAACCACCCUGCGCUUACCGCGCAUGAAGCUCUGUGAUAUCACCAUGCAAUA